GACAGAGGGUGCGAGCGUUGUUCGGAAUUACUGGGCGUAAAGCGCGCGCAGGCGGAUCCUGCAAGUCGGAAGUGAAAUGUGGCUGCUCAACGGCCACGCUGCUUCCGAUACUGCGGAUCUGGGGACCGGUAGAGGCUGGUGGAAUUGCAGGUGUAGCGGUGGAAUGCGUAGAGAUCUGCAAGAACACCCGUGGCGAAGGCGGCCAGCUGGGCCGGAUCCGACGCUGAGGCGCGAAAGCGUGGGGAGCGAACAGG
This 254-nucleotide ribosomal RNA is filed under the name uncultured bacterium. Its description in RNAcentral is "partial 16S ribosomal RNA". It matches the Rfam family "Bacterial small subunit ribosomal RNA", at positions 524 to 776 of the family's 1533-position model. The record is from RNAcentral.